Molecule: ribosomal RNA, 498 nt
Filed under: uncultured bacterium
Lineage: Bacteria
Description: partial 16S ribosomal RNA
Rfam family: Bacterial small subunit ribosomal RNA
Source: RNAcentral
AUUGAACGCUGGCGGCAUGCCUUACACAUGCAAGUCGAACGGUAACAGGUCUUCGGAUGCUGACGAGUGGCGAACGGGUGAGUAAUACAUCGGAACGUGCCUAGUAGUGGGGGAUAACUACUCGAAAGAGUGGCUAAUACCGCAUGAGAUCUACGGAUGAAAGCAGGGGAUCGCAAGACCUUGUGCUACUAGAGCGGCCGAUGGCAGAUUAGGUAUUUGGUGGGAUAAAAGCUUACCAAGCCGACGAUCUGUAGCUGGUCUGAUAGGACGAUCAGCCACACUGGGAAGGAGACACGGCCCAGACUCCUACGGGAGCCAGCAGUGGGGAAUUUUGGACAAUGGGGGAAAGCCUGAUCCAGCAAUGCCGCGUGCAGGAUGAAGGCCUUCGGGUUGUAAACUGCUUUUGUACGGAACGAAAAGCCCCGGGUUAAUACCCUGGGGUCAUGACGGUACCGUAAGAAUAAGCACCGGCUAACUACGUGCCAGCCGCCGCGGUAA